AAGAUGCUAGUAUAAUAGAAAAUACACUGCCUUGUCAAGGCAGAAUUGUGGGUUAAACCCCCGCGCAUCUUA
RNAcentral lists this transfer RNA (72 nucleotides) under Callogobius tanegasimae. Its description in RNAcentral is "tRNA-Asp". It matches the Rfam family "tRNA". From Rfam's summary of the family: Transfer RNA (tRNA) molecules are approximately 80 nucleotides in length. Their secondary structure includes four short double-helical elements and three loops (D, anti-codon, and T loops). Further hydrogen bonds mediate the characteristic L-shaped molecular structure. tRNAs have two regions of fundamental functional importance: the anti-codon, which is responsible for specific mRNA codon recognition, and the 3' end, to which the tRNAs corresponding amino acid is attached (by aminoacyl-tRNA synthetases). tRNAs cope with the degeneracy of the genetic code in two manners: having more than one tRNA (with a specific anti-codon) for a particular amino acid; and 'wobble' base-pairing, i.e. permitting non-standard base-pairing at the 3rd anti-codon position. The record is from RNAcentral. Lineage: Eukaryota; Metazoa; Chordata; Actinopteri; Gobiiformes; Gobiidae.